CCUAAGUGGUGCAUGUGAUUGCCAUAUCACCUUCAGAGAUUCUUUCUAGAAGACACGUACAUGCUGUCUACACUUCAGAUGGCCAAGCCAACCUUUUGCAUCAGCAGGCCGGUUCAACAUUCUAUCAAGCCAGACGUUUCCAGAUGGCGUGUUAUGGUGCAGCUGGAGGACCCCAUUAUCAUUUGACCCACUCUCCCAGCAUCUUUUAUGCAAGAUGAUUUCUUCUUCCUGUUUCUGGUCUUACUGCUGACAGGCAUCACCAGUACCCUGAGGGUAAGCAUUGUGUGCUGGUAUCUGGCUUUAAAGAAAAACUUUUAAUAUUCUCGAU
Long non-coding RNA from Acinonyx jubatus (cheetah), 328 nucleotides. RefSeq lists it as uncharacterized. The record is from RefSeq and is a predicted model, not a curated record. The transcript has 3 exons. NCBI's taxonomy places the organism in Eukaryota, Metazoa, Chordata, Mammalia, Carnivora, Felidae.